GUAAAAUUGCAUUGAAAUGGGGGUUUACGGGUGUUUUCUUAGUCAAAUGGGUGGACAGACGAAGCUGUAUUUAGAUUAAUUACUGUGUUAAAUUUUAAAUUACCCUUACAGUUUUUGUUUUGUUUAUAAAACAUGUGAAUUUUUUAUUUCAGUGUUAACCAUGUUCUGAAGAGCAUUCUGUUGAAAAAUCUUAUAUGUGAAUUGGUCUGCAGAUGACACUUCAGCAUU
Molecule: long non-coding RNA, 228 nt
Filed under: Mytilus galloprovincialis (Mediterranean mussel)
Lineage: Eukaryota; Metazoa; Mollusca; Bivalvia; Mytilida; Mytilidae
Source: RNAcentral